AGGAAUAUUGGUCAAUGGGCGCAAGCCUGAACCAGCCAUGCCGCGUGCAGGAAGACGGCUCUAUGAGUUGUAAACUGCUUUUGUACUAGGGUAAUUUGCGGUACGUGUACCGUAUUGAAAGUAUAGUACGAAUAAGGAUCGGCUAACUCCGUGCCAGCAGCCGCGGUAAUACGGAGGAUGCGAGCGUUAUCCGGAUUUAUUGGGUUUAAAGGGUGCGUAGGCGGGCUUUUAAGUCAGCGGUAAAAAUUCGGGGCUCAACCCCGUCCGGCCGUUGAAACUGGGGGCCUUGAGUGGGCGAGAAGAAGGCGGAAUGCGUGGUGUAGCGGUGAAAUGCAUAGAUAUCACGCAGAACCCCGAUUGCGAAGGCAGCCUUCCGGCGCCCUACUGACGCUGAGGCACGAAAGUGCGGGGAUCGAACAG
RNAcentral lists this ribosomal RNA (420 nucleotides) under uncultured bacterium. RNAcentral describes it as "bacterial SSU rRNA". It matches the Rfam family "Bacterial small subunit ribosomal RNA", at positions 357 to 775 of the family's 1533-position model. The record is from RNAcentral.